RNAcentral lists this ribosomal RNA (2262 nucleotides) under human gut metagenome. RNAcentral describes it as "bacterial LSU rRNA". It matches the Rfam family "Bacterial large subunit ribosomal RNA", at positions 24 to 2130 of the family's 2925-position model. The record is from RNAcentral.
GUGGAUGCCUUGGCAGACAGUACCGAUGAAGGACGUGUGGGGCCGCGAUAGUCCUGGGGGAGCCGCCGACAUGGCUUUGAUCCCAGGGUGUCCGAAUGGGGCAACCCGCCAGCCGUCAUGGGCUGGCACCGCACUUGUGCGGGGGGUACGCAGGGAAGUGAAACAUCUCAGUACCUGCAGGAGAGGAUACUCCGUGAGUAGUGGCGAGCGAAAGCGGAUGAUGGCUAAACCGUGCGCGUGUGAUACCCGUCGGGGGUUGCGCGCAUGGUGUCGUGGGAACGCCUGUCCAACGGCCGACGCCGUUGGCUGUGGUGAUAAAUGCAUGCGUGAGGCGAACCGGGUUGGAUACCGGGCCGUAGAGGGUGAUGGCCCCGUAGCCGUAUGCGCGUGCACCAUGGAUGGUGUCUCCCGAGUAGCGCGGGACUCGUGGAAUCCCGUGUGAAUCCGCCCGGACCGUCGGGUAAGCCUGAGUAUACCUGUCUGACCGAUAGCGUACGAGUACCGUGAGGGAAAGGUGAAAAGCACCCCGGGAGGGGAGUGAAAGAGUUCCUGAAACCGUGCGCCCGCGAACCGUCGGAGCCCCCUUGGUGGGGUGACGGCGUGCCUAUCGAAAAAUGAGUCUGCGAGUCAGUGGCAUGUGGCGAGCAUAAGCCGUGUGGUGUAUGCGUAGCGAAAGCGAGUCUUAAAAGGCGUCUUUUCAGUCGCGUGUCCUGGACCCGAAGCGGGAUGAUCUAGCCCUGGUCAGGUUGAAGCGCGGGUAAGACCGCGUGGAGGACCGCACCCACUUAGGUUAAAAACUGAGGGGAUGAACUGGGGUUAGGGGUGAAAGGCCAAUCAAAUUCCGUGAUAGCUGGUUCUCUUCGAAAUGCAUUUAGGUGCAGCGUCGGUUGAUUGCGUGUGGGGGGUAGAGCUACUGGAUGCUUGCGGGCCCGUGCCGGGUACCAACAGCAACCAAACUCCGAAUACCCAUCGCGUCUAUUCCGGCAGUGAGUCGGCGGGGGAUAAGCUCCGUCGUCGAGGGGGAGACAGCCCUGACCGUCGUCUAAGGUCCCCAAGCGCGUGCUAAGUGGGAAAGGAUGUGGAGUCGCAUAGACAGCCAGGAGGUUGGCUCAGAAGCAGCCAUCCUUGAAAGAGUGCGUAACAGCUCACUGGUCUAGUGGUUCCGCGCCGACAAUGUAGCGGGGCUCAAGCACGCCACCGAAGACGCGGAUGCGGCCGUAUGGCCGUGUGGUAGGAGAGCGUCCCACACCGGGGCGAAGCGGCGGGGGAACCCGGCCGUGGACUGUGUGGGAGUGAGAAUGCAGACAUGAGUAGCGAGAGCAGGGUGAGGAUCCCUGCCGCUGGAAGACCAAGGGUUCCAGGGCCACGUUCGUCGUCCCUGGGUGAGUCGGGUCCUAAGGCGAGGCCGACAGGCGUAGUCGAAUGGAUGAACGGGUCGAUAUUCCCGUACCGGCUUUCGGACCGACCAACAGCCCGUGUGAACAAGGGCCAUCCGAUACGGUUGAUGGGGGCUUCGGCCUCCUGAUUCCGUUGCUGUUUGGCCUGGACGCGCAUGGGUUGAGCGUUUCAGGAGUGACGCGGACGGGUAGCCGGCCGGGGAGGUGGUUUUCCCUGGUCAAGCGUGUGGCCCCGCCCCCAGGCAAAUCCGGGGGCUUCAUGGGGUGAGGCGUGAUGAUGGGCGCUUUCAUGGCGUGAUAUCCGGUGAUCCCGUCGGCCGAGAAAAGCUUCGGCGCGAGGUCCGUUGCCGCCCGUACCCCAAACCGACACAGGUGGUCUGGUAGAGUAUACCGAAGCGAUCGAGCGAAUCCUGGUCAAGGAACUCGGCAAAUUGCUCCCGUGCCUUCGGCAUAAGGGAGACCCCCGGCCGUGCCGGCCCCUUGCGGGUCGUGGGCGGCUGGGGGUGGCACAGGCCAGGGGGUAGCGACUGUUUACCAAAAACACAGGUGCAUGCCAAGACGCAAGUCGCCGUAUAUGCACUGACGCCUGCCCGGUGCCGGAAGGUUAAGAGGAUCCAUCAGCGUCCCCUCGCGGGAUGCGAAGUGGUGAAUUCAAGCCCCGGUAAACGGCGGUGGUAACUAUAACCAUCCUAAGGUAGCGAAAUUCCUUGUCGGGUAAGUUCCGACCUGCACGAAUGGAGUAACGACUUCCCUACUGUCUCAACCAUGAACUCGGCGAAAUUGCAGUACGAGUAAAGAUGCUCGUUUCGCGCAGCAGGACGGAGAUCGGAAGAGCGUCGUGUAGGGAAAGAGUGUAGAUCUCGGU